AGCUCAGCUGGUAGAGCAUAACCUUGCCAAGGUUAGGGUCGCGGGUUCGAAUCCCGUC
RNAcentral lists this transfer RNA (58 nucleotides) under Bacteroidales bacterium. RNAcentral describes it as "tRNA-Gly". It matches the Rfam family "tRNA", at positions 9 to 63 of the family's 71-position model. From Rfam's summary of the family: Transfer RNA (tRNA) molecules are approximately 80 nucleotides in length. Their secondary structure includes four short double-helical elements and three loops (D, anti-codon, and T loops). Lineage: Bacteria; Pseudomonadati; Bacteroidota; Bacteroidia; Bacteroidales. The record is from RNAcentral.